RNAcentral lists this ribosomal RNA (460 nucleotides) under uncultured bacterium. Its description in RNAcentral is "partial 16S ribosomal RNA". It matches the Rfam family "Bacterial small subunit ribosomal RNA", at positions 338 to 795 of the family's 1533-position model. The record is from RNAcentral.
CCUACGGGGGGCAGCAGUGAGGAAUAUUGGUCAAUGGGCGCGAGCCUGAACCAGCCAAGUAGCGUGAAGGAUGACUGCCCUACGGGUUGUAAACUUCUUUUAUAAAAGAAUAAAGUGAGGCACGUGUGCCUUUUUGUAUGUACUGUAUGAAUAAGGAUCGGCUAACUCCGUGCCAGCAGCCGCGGUAAUACGGAGGAUCCGAGCGUUAUCCGGAUUUAUUGGGUUUAAAGGGAGCGUAGGUGGGUUGAUAAGUUAGUUGUGAAAGUUUGCGGCUCAACCGUAAAAUUGCCAUUGAUACUGUCAGUCUUGAGUAUAGUUGAGGUAGGCGGAAUGCGUGGUGUAGCGGUGAAAUGCUUAGAGAUCACGAAGAACACCGAUUGCGAAGGCAGCUUACUAAACUGCCACUGACAUUGAUGCACGAAAGUGUGGGUAUCAAACAGGAUUAGAUACCCUGGUAGUC